This 497-nucleotide ribosomal RNA is filed under the name uncultured bacterium. RNAcentral's name for it is "partial 16S ribosomal RNA". It matches the Rfam family "Bacterial small subunit ribosomal RNA", at positions 28 to 507 of the family's 1533-position model. The record is from RNAcentral.
GACGAACGCUGGCGGCGUGCCUAAUACAUGCAAGUAGAACGCUGAAGAGAAGAGCUUGCUCUUCUUGGAUGAGUUGCGAACGGGUGAGUAACGCGUAGGUAACCUGCCUUGUAGCGGGGGAUAACUAUUGGAAACGAUAGCUAAUACCGCAUAACAAUGGAUGACACAUGUCAUUUAUUUGAAAGGGGCAAUUGCUCCACUACAAGAUGGACCUGCGUUGUAUUAGCUAGUAGGUGAGGUAACGGCUCACCUAGGCGACGAUACAUAGCCGACCUGAGAGGGUGAUCGGCCACACUGGGACUGAGACACGGCCCAGACUCCUACGGGAGGCAGCAGUAGGGAAUCUUCGGCAAUGGGGGCAACCCUGACCGAGCAACGCCGCGUGAGUGAAGAAGGUUUUCGGAUCGUAAAGCUCUGUUGUAAGUCAAGAACGAGUGUGAGAGUGGAAAGUUCACACUGUGACGGUAGCUUACCAGAAAGGGACGGCUAACUACGUG